This 830-nucleotide ribosomal RNA is filed under the name uncultured bacterium. RNAcentral describes it as "bacterial SSU rRNA". It matches the Rfam family "Bacterial small subunit ribosomal RNA", at positions 36 to 883 of the family's 1533-position model. The record is from RNAcentral.
CGGCCGGGGUGCUUACCAUGCAGUCGAGCGGAAAGGCCCUUCGGGGUACUCGAGCGGCGAACGGGUGAGUAACACGUGAGUAAUCUGCCUUCAGCUUUGGGAUAACCCUCGGAAACGGGGGCUAAUACCGGGUAUGACUUCUCGCCGCAUGGUGGGGGGUGGAAAGUUUUUUGGCUGGAGAUGAGCUCGCGGCCUAUCAGCUUGUUGGUGGGGUGAUGGCCUACCAAGGCGACGACGGGUAGCCGGCCUGAGAGGGCGACCGGCCACACUGGGACUGAGACACGGCCCAGACUCCUACGGGAGGCAGCAGUGGGGAAUAUUGCACAAUGGGCGGAAGCCUGAUGCAGCGACGCCGCGUGAGGGAUGACGGCCUUCGGGUUGUAAACCUCUUUCGACCCUGACGAAGCGUGAGUGACGGUAGGGGGAGAAGAAGCGCCGGCCAACUACGUGCCAGCAGCCGCGGUAAGACGUAGGGCGCGAGCGUUGUCCGGAUUUAUUGGGCGUAAAGAGCUCGUAGGCGGCUCGUUGCGUCGGCUGUGAAAACCCGUGGCUUAACUGCGGGCUUGCAGCCGAUACGGGCGGGCUGGAGUUCGGUAGGGGAGACUGGAAUUCCUGGUGUAGCGGUGAAAUGCGCAGAUAUCAGGAGGAACACCGGUGGCGAAGGCGGGUCUCUGGGCCGAUACUGACGCUGAGGAGCGAAAGCGUGGGGAGCGAACAGGAUUAGAUACCCUGGUAGUCCACGCUGUAAACGUUGGGCGCUAGGUGUGGGGGGCCUCUCCGGUUCUCUGUGCCGCAGCUAACGCAUUAAGCGCCCCCGCCUGGGGGAGUAC